RNAcentral lists this long non-coding RNA (353 nucleotides) under Nicotiana benthamiana. RNAcentral describes it as "long non-coding RNA (NBEN_LNC037397)". The record is from RNAcentral. Lineage: Eukaryota; Viridiplantae; Streptophyta; Magnoliopsida; Solanales; Solanaceae.
UCAUGAGCAACGGACCACAUAGCCUGGGAACGCAGUGCCUUUGUUGAAUUUCGGCGAGUUCCACAUAGAACAAAGUUGCUAAAGUGGAUAUAAAGUUGAUGUUGAAGGGAUUGGUACAUGCAAGUUAGUCCUGCGUGGUGGUCGAGACCUAAUACUACAUGAUGUUCUCUUUGCACCAACAAUUCGCCAGAAUGUUAUUUCAGUUUCCGUUUUGCUUAAGUUAGGAUUUGACUUGUUUUGUCAUGGAAAUUCUGCCAUGUUGACUUUUGGUUCAACUUUUAUUUGGUUUUGGUCAUGUGAUCGGAGGUUUAAUUAUUAUGGAUUUGGAUUAUAAUUCAUUUAAUAAUAAUGCU